RNAcentral lists this ribosomal RNA (151 nucleotides) under Salix viminalis (osier). It matches the Rfam family "5.8S ribosomal RNA". From Rfam's summary of the family: 5.8S ribosomal RNA (5.8S rRNA) is a component of the large subunit of the eukaryotic ribosome. It is transcribed by RNA polymerase I as part of the 45S precursor that also contains 18S and 28S rRNA. The record is from RNAcentral. Lineage: Eukaryota; Viridiplantae; Streptophyta; Magnoliopsida; Malpighiales; Salicaceae.
GACUCUCGGCAACGGAUAUCUCGGCUCUCGCAUCGAUGAAGAACGUAGCGAAAUGCGAUACUUGGUGUGAAUUGCAGAAUCCCGUGAACCAUCGAGUCUGACGCAGUUGCGCCGAGGCCUCCUGGUCGAGGGCACGUCUGCCUGGGUGUCA